AAGUCGUAACAAGGUUUCCGUAGGUGAACCUGCGGAAGGAUCAUUAAUGAAAUGAUGUUUUUUGGGGUUUUUAAUCUCAAAAAAUAAUUCACCUUUUGUGCAUUGUUAUUUAGAUAUACUUUGGUUAGUGCUUUGGUUCCAAAACAACUGGAAUCAACUUCUUGCUGACUCUAUCCUUUUUAAAGGACAGUUGGCUAUGAAGCGGCCUACCAAGGUUUUUUAUCAAACACAUUUAAUCCAACUGACCUAAAACAAAUAAUUAAAUCAUAACUUUCAACAACGGAUCUCUUGGCUCUC
This 297-nucleotide unclassified non-coding RNA is filed under the name fungal sp. RNAcentral's name for it is "partial internal transcribed spacer region". The stretch from base 1 to 46 matches the Rfam family "Eukaryotic small subunit ribosomal RNA", at positions 1786 to 1831 of the family's 1831-position model. The record is from RNAcentral. Lineage: Eukaryota; Fungi.